RNAcentral lists this ribosomal RNA (250 nucleotides) under uncultured prokaryote. RNAcentral's name for it is "partial 16S ribosomal RNA". It matches the Rfam family "Bacterial small subunit ribosomal RNA", at positions 524 to 773 of the family's 1533-position model. The record is from RNAcentral.
UACGUAGGGAGCGAGCGUUGUCCGGAAUUACUGGGUGUAAAGGGUGCGUAGGCGGGACGGCAAGUCAGAUGUGAAAUACCGGGGCUCAACCCCGGGGCUGCAUUUGAAACUGUCGUUCUUGAGUGAGGUAGAGGUAAGCGGAAUUCCUAGUGUAGCGGUGAAAUGCGUAGAUAUUAGGAGGAACAUCGGUGGCGAAGGCGGCUUACUGGGCCUUUACUGACGCUGAGGCACGAAAGCGUGGGGAGCAAAC